UUCCGGUUGAUCCUGCCGGAGGUUACUGCUAUCGAGGUUCGACUAAGCCAUGCGAGUCGAAUGUAGCAAUACAUGGCGAACUGCUCAGUAACACGUGGACAACCUGCCCUUAGGACGGGGAUAAACCCGGGAAACUGGGUAUAAUACCCGAUAGGUCUCGAUUGCUGGAAUGCAUCGAGAUUCAAAGCUCCGGCGCCUAAGGAUGGGUCUGCGGCCUAUCAGGUAGUAGUGGGUGUAGCGUACCUACUAGCCUACGACGGGUACGGGUUGUGAGAGCAAGAGCCCGGAGAUGGAUUCUGAGACACGAAUCCAGGCCCUACGGGGUGCAGCAGGCGCGAAAACUUUACAAUGCUGGCAACAGCGAUAAGGGAACCUCGAGUGCCAGGUUACAAAUCUGGCUGUCGAGAUGCCUAAAAAGCAUUUCAUAGCAAGGGCCGGGCAAGACCGGUGCCAGCCGCCGCGGUAACACCGGCGGCUCGAGUGGUAACCGUUAUUAUUGGGUCUAAAGGGUCUGUAGCCGGCCGGAUAAGUCUCUUGAGAAAUCUGGCAGCUUAACUGUCAGGCUUUCAGGAGAUACUGUCUGGCUCGAGGCCGGGAGAGGUGAGAGGUACUUCAGGGGUAGGGGUGAAAUCUUGUAAUCCUUGAAGGACCACCAGUGGCGAAGGCGUCUCACCAGAACGGACCUGACGGCAAGGGACGAAAGCUAGGGGCACGAACCGGAUUAGAUACCCGGGUAGUCCUAGCCGUAAACGAUACUCGCUAGGUGUCGGCCACGGUGCGACCGUUGUCGGUGCCGUAGGGAAGCCGUGAAGCGAGCCACCUGGGAAGUACGGCCGCAAGGCUGAAACUUAAAGGAAUUGGCGGGGGAGCACCACAAC
Molecule: ribosomal RNA, 878 nt
Filed under: uncultured archaeon
Lineage: Archaea
Description: bacterial SSU rRNA
Rfam family: Archaeal small subunit ribosomal RNA
Source: RNAcentral